UGCAACUGUCUCCUGAAUGUUUUAUUUGACUGGAAGGACAGGAGAAAUCCAGACCUAUCAACAAAAUUGUGUUUACAAAAUAUGUCUAUGGCAACCCUAUGAACUCAAAAAGGUUCCUAGUAGGGUUUUGUUCCUAUUGGGACCAAAUAACUGUAACACAUAAGAUUGAAGUUCCGGACGCUCGAGAGUUAGAACGCUCCCACAGAUUCUUCUGUCAGAUAGCUAGCUGCUAGCUAUGUCAAUAAUUCGCGUAAAUGUUUUGUACACAUCUGCAACUGCUCGGAUGAUGUGCAUACAAGCUAACCAGGCUGAAUUUUGAUGCCAAUAACUGAAAAUGGAUAGAGAUUUACUGAGGCAGACAUUGUCUCACCAUGGACAGAGCCUGUUUACCCAUCUCAAAUGUGAACAAAGUGAAAAUCCAGAUUUCAAGGCUAUUGAACCUGACUUGUCCAAAGCCAGCUAUCAAAGGAAAUAUGGAGGUGAGGACAAUGCCUUAGUGGAGCAGUUCAUUGCUAGAAAAGCUGACAUCCUGUUUGCGCCAUCAUGGAAGUCUAGUGCACUUCUGGAGGAUGUGUUAGAGGAGGAAGGAGAAGAGCCCUACGCCAUCAUGCCCCCUCUGGAGCAGUUCAUGGAGGUGUCGUUUGAGGAACGGAGAAAUCUCUUGUACAGGGACAUUGAGCGAGGGGACAUUGUGAUAGGCAGGAUCAACUCCAUCAGGGACUUUGGCUUCUUUGUAACUUUGAUCUGCAUGGGAGGUGGACUAGAGCGAGACAUAGAGGAUCUGGAGCUCACGGCCCUGUGUCCCCUUAGAGAUGUACCUUCCAAUGGCAAUCAUGAUGAUCCGCUAUCAUACUAUCAGCUUAAUGAUUUGAUAAGAGCUGGAGUGAAGGACAUUGACCGAUACCAUGAGAAGAUAACCAUUUCACUUCAGCCCUCCUCCCUCGGCCCAAAUCUGAUGAACCUAAAGCUUGGAGUUUUUAGUAGAGAUGAUUUGCCACUUCAAUACAGCCGCAGUGUGAGGGUUGCAAACGACAACACUGAAACCUAUGAGAGGGUUUUAGAGGGUUCUCUUGGCUAUUCCAAUCCGUCUAAUGUGGAAUAUCUCCUGGGGAAGAUUGGGGUCAGUGACACACAGCCUCCCUCACUCAUGAGAGGGCUACAGAGCAAACAUUUCCUUGAGGAGGACUUUGCCACAACUAUCCGAAAGAAGCAGUCUGCAUCCUGGGCUCUUAAAUGUGUAAGGGUUGGUGUGGACCACUUCAAAUCUGGCCGCCAUGUCGAAGCAAUGAAUGAAUAUAACAAGGCCUUAGAGAUCGACACUAACAAUGUGGAAGCCCUUGUGGCACGUGGUGCACUGUAUGCUAACAAAGGGAGUUUGCUGAAGGCAAUAACUGACUUUGAGCUGGCAUUGGAAAGCUGCCCAACCCACAGAAAUGCAAAGAAAUACCUAUGCCAGACCCUGGUCGAGCGAGGUGGCCAACUGGAGGAGGAAGAAAAGCUAGUCACAGCUGAAGGUCUCUAUAGAAAAGCCCUGGCCUUAGACGACUCCUUCCAAGACGCCAAGGAAGCAUUGAAAAAAAUAGAGCUGCUUAUCCAGGUGAGCUGGAACAUUCCAUGGCAAUGCCAACUAUUCCUCAUAUGACUGAUCAUUGAACAUUGUGAACUAUGAACAUUUUGGGGGAAAAGGGCCAGUGAAAAGUUCUGUGUCGUUAGCGUGCUUGGAGUAACACACAGGGAACCUUGUAAUACUGAUUAAGUGUUUUGUUGUGUGCUUGUCUGAUCUGGGAUCCUGCCCUUUGACUCUACCCGACUGCCUUGAUUGUCGCUUGUCUAUUGGGGGAACAAACAACCUUACAACUGGAAUGAAAAUGGUUGGUACGCUGGACCUGGUCUCAAUGCGAAAUCGCUCAAACUGAGAGAAGAGGCAGCUGCAAAGGAAGCAGAAAAAGCUAAGAAUGUGGAGACAAGUGCAGAAAAAUUGCGUAAGAUCUUAAAAGAAGAAAAAAGGUACAUCCAUACCAAUCCGUCAGAAAGGUAACCUGGUAAACUGUCAGCUCAUCGGUUGUCUUGUAAAAACAAAAUACGUACACAUAAUUUAAUUUGCCGAAAUAUUAUCAUUCAUCAUUUAAGUUCAUCACAAAUAUAACCUAUUUCAUAUGUAGCUACAUAGUUUGUCUGCUAUAACUCCCUCUAGAAUGAAAAGGAAACAAAGGAGAUCCUCCUCUUCAUCAUCGUCUUCCUCCUCUUCUUCUGACCGAUCCUCCUCGGGUCGCAGGAAGUCAAAGAAAAAGAAGCGCAAACACAGACGGUCAUCUCGAGGGAAGAAACACCAGCAGGUUUCAUCCAGGGACAACAGGAGUGUGGCUGAUGACGAGGAGGAGUGGUACCCUGCCCCGCCCAACACCUCCGCCUCCUUCCUGGAUCAGAAAUCUAGCGUGGUUAGGCCGUUUGAGGGGCCAGAGAAGACUGAAGAAGGCAGUCAGCCCCCCAGCAAGGGCAGGAGCCACUCGUACCACUCUUUAUCAUCAGUGUCUGACGCUCCGGACAACAGCAGGUUUGAAGAUGACCCUUUUGACGCCUCUCCUCAGCGAGCUGAGGGCAGCAAGGGAAAAGGUGUCCGUGGUGACAAGACUAGUGAUGGAGACGUGAAGGAGAGGGAAGGCUCCAGGGGCCAGAGGAAAAGCCAGGGCCAGGAGGAUCAAAGUGGCCCACAAGACGUUCCCAGCUCAUUGGAGAAAGUCAAACACAGAAGAAUGUCCUCCUCAUCUGCCGGCUCAGAGCAUUCCCGCAAAUCUGACCAGUACACCAACGACCUCCCAUCACAGUCCCACAUAUCCACUUACAGGCGAUCAGAUAGUGGGAAGUAUGGUAGCACAGAGCGAGGCGAUAAGAAAGAGCAGGAGAGGGGCACUCGAAGGUCUGAUGGAGGAGAUUACAGGUCUUCCACUGACGCCACCCGGAAUGGUAAGGGAUCAUCCGCAGGAGGAAGUCAGAAAAAAGAGCUGCCAACUAAUCUCCUAGAUCUCUUCAGCCAGAUAGCCCAGUUUGAGAAGGAGAAAUGUGUCAAGCCGAAAAAGUGAAUUCAGCUUUUCCGAGAUGCUUUUACCAUAUGUCAUAAAAACGAUAAACUAAUGCUAUUCUAAUGUUGGACAAAGUUGUAGUUACCAAGCUGUCAUAAUUUAGAAUUUAGUGUUGGUGAUAUCAAACAUUUUCCUCUGUUAUUUCUGUGAUCAAUACACUGCCUUAAUAUUAUGAGAUUACAUUUUCUGUGAAAGGAUGUUUUUUUUAUGUGCCAGAAAGCAAAUGAAAGACCAGUUAAGAUGUCUUCUUUUGGCUUGCAGCUGGAAAAAAUGUAUUUCCUUUGAUUGAAUAAUUGUGUAUUUUCCUCUUAGUACAAUGAACUCUGUAUUACCAAGUACCAUCAGGAAACUCACAAAUCAGAUCUAUUGAGAUAGAAAUGUGCCAUUCUUUUCUAUUUGCUGGGAGUAGAUUGGAAGAUGUCAUUUAAUGACUGAUGACACAUUUCCAUGUGUGAAUCUUUUUCAAUAAAUGGCCUACGAGUUUUGCCCAAAAUGUC
Molecule: RNA transcript, 3577 nt
Organism: Oncorhynchus kisutch (coho salmon)
Lineage: Eukaryota; Metazoa; Chordata; Actinopteri; Salmoniformes; Salmonidae
Gene name: tetratricopeptide repeat protein 14
Exons: 12
Source: RefSeq, a predicted model, not a curated record